Helicoverpa armigera (cotton bollworm) is the source of this 2179-nucleotide long non-coding RNA. RefSeq lists it as uncharacterized. The record is from RefSeq and is a predicted model, not a curated record. The transcript has 2 exons. Lineage: Eukaryota; Metazoa; Arthropoda; Insecta; Lepidoptera; Noctuidae.
UAUUUUUUUCCUUUACCUAUGUAAGUAUGUAUGCAGUAUUAUCUACCAUGUAGAUACAGCGUCUCUCGGCCUCUAGCGUAAACAUAGUUCCGGAUACUUAACUUAUAACCUCAAGAGGGAUUAAGAAUCAAUUAAUUCUUUUUAUCCACUAGGUACACUGAUACAUGUUUACUAUGCAUUUAUGCGAGCGCACUCACAAGUCACACCUUAGGGAGACAAUAUUACAAUAUGAACACAGUACAAUUCAGUAACAGCCUAACAGCAAGUCUUAUCGUAAGACUAAUAUCAACUUGGGAGCAUCAUUAUAUUUGUUUAACCAUAUCACAAGUGUGUGAAUAAUGCAAUAUUGUCGUCAGAUGUUUAUUUAUAGGAUUGAAGUCACUAUUGCUUCUCGCUGUUGGAUAUUGAGUACCUACGUAAUACGUGAUUGACAUCUAAUUUAGCAGUUUACAAACGUUUAUGCUGAUUUAUAAGGAUUAGCUAGUGACUGUACCUGCACAAGAAAUAUGCACGUGGGUGUGUAGGCGUAGCUUUAUGAUCGCGUUUUGUCUGUGAUCGUUUAUAAUUAUGUAUAUAUUUAACCUAAAUCAUCAUCUUUGGACAUUGUAAAUUCAAAAACUCUACGCAAGUUUAUUAUGUUUAAAAUCAGUAGUUCUUCUAUGUCUAUUCUAUUUUAUGUAAGAACCUAACCUAGGUUAUCGUUUCAGUAUAUCGCUUCUUUCAUAGUGAAUGAAUUAUUUCAUUCAAUUCAAUCUAAAACAUGCGGAAGAUAUCGUCAUUGGGUAUAAGAAUAAGAUUUAUUUUAUCACAUACAAUCAAUCAAUUUGCAUACCUACUGAUGAAAUCAUGCUAUGUACCUAAAUACCUAACUACUACAUACUUAGAUAUAUAAUAUUAAAAGUCAACUACAUAUUUGCAACUGCAAUUGCUUAUUGAUUCUCAAAUAGCGUGUCAACAUAGUAUGUUUUGCAAAAAUGGCCUUAACCAAUAAGUUAAUACAUUACAGCAACAAAUACGAGUACCUACCUAUGUGAACAUUACAAAAUGUAAAAAUAUUUCUGUAGGUCGAGCCUCGGUGAAGUCUUUAGAUUGUAACACAAAAACGCAGGACAUGAACUCUUAAAUCGGGACAAUUUAUUAAUCAUGUGGGUGAUUCCUUUGACUUGUAAUACUGUAUAGAGGUCGAAGUUAUGUAAUUCUGAUGCUAAGGUUCUUUGAAUAACCAAACAAUGAAACAAGAGAUCAUCUGCCUAACCAUCUCCCGAAUAUUUUGGAGUCUGGACUAUACUUAGAUUAUUUACAUGGAGCGACUGCCUAUCUGAUCUUCUCAUCCUAGUUACCCGGGCAAACUGAUACCCCUUGGUAAGACUAGUUGUCAGUAUUUCUGGUUCGUAACUUCACGUAAAGACUUAUAAAGAUGUAGAUACAAACCCAUACAGAGACGGGCCACUCUAAGCGAUGCUUAACCUUAUGAUCGAUUGACCCGUGCUGUGGGGUGCGAUUCACUAAGGUAAAACAUCUUUACAACCAAGAAAUCAUCGUUGUAACAUCAGAUGUAAAGUCGGCGGUAUUCAUUAGUUAAAAUUGAGCGAUCGUAGCGCCUCAACGAUGUUGACGGCGUGACAUAGAACUAACAUUUGGUGCCAAAUGUAUGAAAAUCGGUAUUCAGCAACACGAAACAUCCUCGCCUGCAACGACAACCUCGCCUUCGCCCUCGAUUUUAUCUGUCAAACCGAAAAGCUUGUAAAUUGUGGAUGUUUUCUUGGAUGAAGGCGAUUAAAAUAUGGCAGUUCGUCUUUCCUGUAUGAUUUUUUUGUUGGAGGAAACUAAACAUCAAGAUAAUUAAAUAAAUAAAAAGUCAGGUCUCCGUGAUACGUAAUAUGGAUUUACUAACUACUGAUAGAAACUAUAUUAUGGUUGACUGAAGAACAGAUUAGACAGUUGAAAGAAGAUUUCUCCUUUCCUAACAAAGGCGAAUCGUUAAGGAGGAAUUAGCAACCACACCAAUAUAUUACACUUAAACAAUAUAAUAUAAAUCAUCAUACAGUACAGUGGAUAGGUGCCUAAAACUUACUGUCCAUCAACCUUUUGUAUGUACUGUCAAUUUUUUGGUUAGUGGGAUUUAUGUACCAAAUAAUGCUAUGUGAAAUUGCAAGAACAAUGUCUCACGGGCAUCUGC